CAGUGAGCUGAGAUCACACCACUGUACUCCAGCCUGGAUGACAGAGCAAGACUCUGUCUCAAACAAAAGGAGGGUUUUCAUAGAAUUUCAUCAGUAUCUUUACUGAUAUUAAUUGGGGUAACUCAAAACAAUAAAAUAUGGUUGACAGACCUUGAUAUUACUCCUGUCUGAGCCAGUUUAUGUGCAUAAAAACAUAAUGAUAACAUAAAUAUCCAACAUUCAGCUAUGUAAGAAAUGUGCAGGUGGGAUAGGGAGUUAAAAAUCAGAAAUAAGCAUAGAUAGACAUAGAUAGUGAGGACUAAACUCUGAUUUUUUAUCUUGCCCAAGCUCCUACCUAAGGGGCCUACGGAAUCAUGCCCGGCAAACCAUAAAUUCUCAUCAGGUGGGUUUUAUUUGACCCUAUCAUGACUUACUUUUCAAUCUAACUCUAGCAUAACAUUAUGACAGAAGAAAAAAAUAUUUAACUUCAAAAUAUUUUCUUUUGCCAUACCUUUAAAUUGCCUUGCAAAGUAUCUUGUGGGAAAUAUCCAUAUUCUACAGAGAAUCUUCUUUCCCCUUUGUUUUCCUUCCUUUCUUUGCAGUUCCAGAAGAUAACCAACUAAGAGCCAGGCACCCAUUUAGGUCUGAUAAGAAACAUUUUACAACCUGCCCUCUCUCUAAAGUCUGGUAUCUGAGAGGCUGCUCUGCACAAUAAAACUUUGUCUCCACAAUUCUUUACCUUAACCUAAACAUUCCUUUCCAUUGAUCCUAGGUCUUCAGAUAAACUCAACCAAUUGUCAACCAGAAAGUCUUUAAAUUGAUCUAUAGCCUGGAAGCCCCCACUUUGAGUUGUCCCGCCUUUCCGAACAAAACUAAUGGUUUUCUUAAAUGUAUUUCAUUGAUGUCUCAUGCCUCUCUAAAAUAUAUAAAACCAAGCUAUACCCCCACCUUGGGCAAAUGUUGUCAAGGACCUCCCGAGAGCUGUGUCACAGGCCACGGAUAUAUUUGGCUCUGAAUAAAUCUCUUCAAAUAUUUUACAGAGUUUGACUCUUUUCAUCGAGAAUAAUCUGGCGCCCAAACACAUGGAGCCUCAGAGAAGAAUCAGGACCCCAGAGGAGUUGCUUGAAAUGGGAGCUAAGGUACUAGCAGGGGCCCAAUGAAGGCCAACCGAGUUCAAGCUUCUCCUCCAGUGAAAAUGGUCUUUUCUCAAUUGAAGGGAUCGUGGCCUCACAGGCUUCAAGGAAUGAAUCCGUGGACCGCGGUGGUCUUACAGAUGCAACUCCCUGCUGGGAACCCAAACCCGUUUCACCAGAAAAGAGUUUGACUCUUUUAAUCGACAAGAACUAAAUUUAAACUCAUUACAUGUGGGAGCCAGUCCAAGACUUAAUUCUUAGUUCAUCCAGUGAAAGCAUAAGGAAGGAAAUGGGCAUCUGCAAAGAAUCCAAGCAAGAGAAGGAGCAACCGGCUUGUGAACUCACUCCCUUAAGACAGCAUUAAUGUAUUCAAGGGGAUCUGCCCUGUGAUCCAAACACCGCCUACUAGGUCUCACUUCCCAACACUGCCACAUUGGGAAUCAAAUUUCAACAUGCGUUUUGUCAGCGACAAAUCACUUCCAAGCCAUAGCAACCACGUACCCACAAAUAAGAGUCGUAAUCUAUUAGGGUUUUUCUUAAGUUGAUCAUUUUUUCUGUAUAUAAAGUGACACAUUUCAGAAUAAAUUAGUAUGAUUUAA
This 1711-nucleotide long non-coding RNA is filed under the name Homo sapiens (human). RNAcentral's name for it is "HSALNT0085571". The record is from RNAcentral. Lineage: Eukaryota; Metazoa; Chordata; Mammalia; Primates; Hominidae.